GUAGCCAACGAACUUUAGCUAAUAUGUUUUCUCUAUAGUUACAAAUUAGACAACCCAGAACAUACAUGUUAGAUACUGUACUCUAUAGCUAGCUAGCUUGAUUGUUUGAUAUACGGUUCUUCCACAUACCUCUUUUGGACAGCUUUUCCCAGUUUUCUUGACCCUUACGAUUUGUAUAGGGUUUUCCCGCAUCCCGAAAUUGUCCAAUUGUGUGAGAGGCAUCUAUGAGAAGCCUGACUUCACUCCAGACGGUGAAGAAAAUUCCUUGAACCUCACCUCAUACCUGGACUAUUGACUGAAUAAAGGAAAAUGUUUUCAAGUUUUUACAUUUAAGUGCUGCACUAAACCGAGAGUGAUCUCCAAUGCAGUUCGUCUUGUUUGUUCAAGUCAACCAGUGUUUGUCUCUGCCCACCUGACCACUCUGCCUGUCCCUGAGCCUGCCUGCCGUCCUGUAAAUUUGCUCCACCUCUGGAUUACUGACCUCUGCCUGACCUGACCCUGAGCCUGCCUGCCUGUCAUCCCGUACCUUGGCCUCUACUCUGGAUUAUCAACCCCUGCCUGCCUUGACCUGUCAUUUGCCUGCCCCUGUUUUUUACAAUAAACAUUGUUGCUUCUUAC
Long non-coding RNA from Oncorhynchus tshawytscha (Chinook salmon), 618 nucleotides. Lineage: Eukaryota; Metazoa; Chordata; Actinopteri; Salmoniformes; Salmonidae. The record is from Ensembl.